GAGAAAAAAAAAGGUCGUUUCUAGAAGAGAAUAUUCCUCAAGAAGAUGCAAGCAUAAAAGUUAUUGAUUGAGAACAAUAGGGUCCAAAACAACCCACUUCCCGCUCAUUUAUGAUAUUUCUAUGACAUUGACUCUUCAUUGCUUUAUGAAUUACAAUUUGACAUAAAAAAAAUCAUAUUCAGCCGUUAGCUUUAUCGUUUAUAUUUUGACUAUAAUUAUAUUAUACUAUUGGUUGCAAGCUUUAUCGCUCAUUCUUUAACCAUAGUUCAUCACUUUUACUUCAGUCCAAAGCUUUACUACUUAUAUUUUGGCUGUAAGAAUAUUGUUCUAAUGUUCACAAGUUUUAUCGCUCAUUCUUUGACCAUAAUUUAUUAUUCAUAUUCCAGCCGCUAGCUUUAUCGUUUAUAAUUUGGUUGUAAUGAUGUUAUGCUAUUGGUCUCAAGUUUUAUCGUUCAUUUUUUGGCCCUAACCUAUUACUCACAAAUUGGCCGUAGCUUUUACACUUACUUAUUUAAAGGAUUGAAUUAAUCUCCUUCACGUCAAGUUAGAGUUAACCUCCUUGAUAUAAAGUUGAGAGUUCCUUUUAGGCACAUACAAUGUGAAAUAUGAAUAAGUAAGCAAUAGGCGUAUAACAUUAUUAUUAUUAUUGCAAAAAGAAAAAGAAAUACAAUAUAACAAUAGCAAAGUACUAGCUCAAAUGAGCUUUCAAAAGACUAACCAAUUACAUAUUCCAUAAAAAACAGCUACUAUUGACAAAGAUAUCUAAUUGUUCUCGUACUUCAGUUUCACGUUUUCUUAGUGAAGCUAUUUUUGUCGUAAUGUCUUCUAACUCUUUUUCCAAAGAAGACUUGUUGAGAAAAGCUUUGACUCUAGAUCUACAAUCAUUGAGGCAUUCAAAUUUGAAUCCAACGUUACAAGCAUCAUCGAAAUCCCAUAACAUCUACUACAAUUCCUCUGGUGAAGUACUCAUUAAUAGAGCAUGGGAAAUGGCUAGAGCUUUAUCUAACACUUCCAUCAUUAAACAAAUGACAUCCAUGUUCUUAAAAAAGGAAGUACUCAAAAAUUCUCCUUUUAUACUGAAAAUUUGCUCUAAGUAUUCCACAUAUUUUGAAGAAAUUUGAAAACUAUGGAAGUUACUUUUUUACCACUCUGUUCAGCACAUGCUACUUGAGUACCAGAAACAUUAUUAGCAUCUUUGUGUGCUGGCACUGGAAAGGAAGAAGCAUGAGAAUUAAUCAGAGUAACUCUAAUAUCAUUAAUAACAACUCCAACAUCAUGAAUAGCCUCAAUAUUUGGAGUUGCUCCAACAUUAUCGAUGACAACAUCAGGAAUAGCUCUAGCAUCAACUCCAACAUCAAGUACAACCUCAACAGUAGGAAUAACCUUAGUGUUGGGAAUAACCUCAAUAUUAGGAAUAACCUUAUAUUGAAUAACUUGGGCAGUAAGAAUGAUCUUAAUUUCAAAAGAAAAAAAAUCAACAUCAAUUGGAGUAACAUAAUAAUAUGUUUAUACUUGGUUCAUAGUGGAGCCCUGAACAUGAAAAGGAAAUAGAACAUCCAAAUCAAUGAAAUCAUCAAAAGGGGCUAGCUAACCUUCAACUUCAGCUUCAUCAACAUCAACAGACUCAUCAUCAAAUUCAUCACUACGUUCAAAGUCACAUGAUUCUUCCUCAAUCUCAGCUUCAAAAGUCUAUUCCUCUUCAAUCGAGUUAAGUUUUACUCUCACAGUUGUUUCUCUCUAUAAAAAAAAUAAUAAGAAAAUGAAUUUAAAAAAAAUAAAAGAUGAAGUAAAGGCUGAACUUACUUUUUAAUGUACAUGUUUUUUUUUAUUAGUAAAAGCGUGAGAAUCAUCAUCUUCUUCUUCAUUUACAUUUCUUUUCUUUUUGAGAGAAAUCAAGCGCAAGUAUACAUCAGUGUUACCUACAAGAGGAGUGUAGAAACAAGCUUUGGGAUUAGUUAAAGGCAAAAUAAAAGAUCUCCAUUCUUCAACACACUUUCUCUAAUAAGCAAACCAUCCAAAAGUGUGGAUACCAACUCUAUCAAAAGUUAGGACAGUAUAACUUUUAAGUUUAUCUAAACAAAGUUGAAGUCUUACCCUAGGAGAUGAAGAAACGUAUGAAGAAAAACUAAUAGAAGAAGAAGAGUCAGGAGGAGCUAGUUGGUCAAACCCAAAUUGGCAUGCCAUGCUGUAAGGAGAAUAUACCUUGACGAAAGAAAAUUUCUAUCUCCACUUGAACUAGAACUCUCAAUCAUAGAUGGAAAUUAGGAACUGUGAACCUAUACACAAAAGUUAAUACCUUGUGAACUAAUUCUUCUUGAUUGUAGAGGGUGGUGAUCAUAAUAAAUUUUAAGAUCACAAAAUCCAUCAAUGGGUUGCACAUAAGGGCUGGGAUUGAAUUCCUUUGUCACAUCCAUCACUUCAAAAACAUUACCUUUCGAGAGUUGAUCAUGCCAUGGCCAAGCUUUAUAGUUGUUCUUGGAUAGAGGGUUAUUCAGGGAAAAAGAUGCAAAAGGAUAUGCAUUAGGCACGGGAGUGCAAGUACCAAACCUUUCCCAUAAGCACAUCUAAAUGAAGGAAUCAUCCACAUAAGUCAAAACUUUGUAACACCUAGCUGACUCUACAGUUUUGAGUUGGUAAAAGUUUAUCCUCUUAUAUAGAGAUCCUAAAUACAGUGGACCAAAAGGAAAAUGUAUUAUCUUGACAAUUUUUAUUGUGAAAGGAACAACAGCUGAAGAGAUACCAUCAUCUGACGCUUUGGGAAUAUAUGUCGUGCCAACUAAAAAAUUAUUAAAUCCACUAGCUCAUGCUCAUGGUUUAGGUAAUCAAAAGGACCAAUUUCAUUUUCCUUAGCGUUGAACUUUUUAUAAAGAAACCCUAUCCAAUUGGUGAACCGUGCAACCUCUGAAGUUUUACUCAAAUUCUUGAGUAGAUCAAAGAAAAAUUCUCGAAGACAUAUAUCUUCUUUAGAAAGCUUGAUAGAGUGAAAAUCAUGCUUCCCCAUGCAAAGAAGUUCCAAGAGAAUACUUACAUCUUCCAGAGUGAAAGUAAAUUCCUCCAUGUUGUAAUCAUAAUAUGAGAAAAAGUGUUCCACCUUGCAAGAAUAGCAUGCCAUACAUCCAUCCUUUUCUCUCUACGAAUAUUGAGCUCGAAAGUGAGACGUACAACAUUAAGUAUUCCAAUAGAUGAGAGAAGUUUAACAUAAGUAAGAUUAUUCAACAACUUAUUUACCCAUUCAUCCCAGCCAUGAAAAAAUUGAGAAUUGGAGCCUAGCUUAGUAGUAGAAAGUGGAAACUCAUCACAUUCAAACUUGAACUUAAGAAUGGAUAAUCUCGAAACACUACUUCUUUUAUGAUGAGGUGCUUCUAAGCAUAGACAAUUCUAAUCAUUUCCAACAGGCUCAAAGGGAUGUUCGUCAACUUGCCUGGCACGAAUUUCCUCCCAAAAAUGAUCUUCUCCUCUUCCUCUAAUAAUUUUAUCUUCCAAAUUUUCAGGGACAAGAAGAACUUCACCACUUUUUUCUACUCUAAUUUUCUUGGGAGGAAUUACUUCGGAAUCAUUACUCUUCCUUUUAUGUGCAGUAGUUUUUUAUCUUGUUACAACCGUUCUAAACUCACCAUAAUGGAUCUUUGGAAGGAAAUGCCUCCUAAGCAUAGAGAAAGAUGGAAAAAGAAUCCUAUAAACAUGAUCAUAGAAAAAGAGAUAAGUAUACACACACAAUAAUUUUUUUAUUUAUGUAUUUAUUAAGUAUAAAAAACACAACAACAACAAAGUAAAAACAACAAAACUUAUCAAAAUUAUAGAUUUUGAUAUUAUUUUUAUUUUUAAUAAUAUAUAUAAUAAAAACUUAUACAUAUAUAAUAUAAAAAUAUAUACAAUAAAUAAGUAAAACUUAAAAAAAAUCUACAACUUCUAAUAACAAUAACAUAAUAAUAAUAAAAUAAUUACAAAAUUAUAAUUACAAAAAUAACAUAAAAUAAAUCUACCGUGAGCUCCAAAACGCGUGUCGCAAGCACCAAAAGAAAGUUCCAUAUUAAAAUUAUAAAAAAGUAUCACAAAUGCCACAAGCUUCAACUCAAAAGCCAAGUAAAAUAAAAAUAAAUAAAGGGAAAGCUAUGGUGUAACUUAAGCCUAAAACAAAAGCAAUGUUUCCAAGGUCCUCCUUUUACACUUUUGCUUAUGCUGUGAGCUCCAAACCAAACUUCAAACUAUCUAUAACUUACAUAAUUUGAAGAUCUAAAAUUGAUUCUAUAUUUGACCAUGUUUUUAUUCCCAUAAGCUGUCAUGUGUAAAGUUGUAACUUAAUAUAGAAAGAAGACCCAAUGCAGCUUCCACAAUUUGCCACGUUGGGGUUUUCAGAGAUUGACACAUUACUUUUUCAAUGGCCUUUUCAAGAAGAUUUUUAGGCUUUUGGUCUUGCUUUAGCUAAAGGGUCAACUUGGGCGGGCGGCAUGCCCACAUCCUUUUGCUUUAGCUAAAGGCUUUUGGUCUUUCAAGAAGAUUUUUUCAUGAACAUUUCUUACAAUAAACUUUUUUUUAACCCGAGUGCAAAGCAAGGGGUAAAAUCUAGUAAAAAAAAACAAGAGAAAAAUCGUGGCUUGUGUUGUGAACAAUUAAAAAGCUACAAACAAUAUAGCUUUCUAAAGAAGUAAAAAGACAACAUAAGGUUAAAAAAUCAAAGGCACCAAAGACCAAGUAAAACAAGAGCUCGGAAUCCACGCAUUACUCUUCAAAGGAAAGAAAAAUAUUAUAAUAAUAAUUAGUAUUACUAUUAUUAUUUUUGACAUCUUCUUAUAAAAUCAAAUAAUUUGUUUAUCUACUUGAAUAUAUAUAAAAAAAUUCUUUCAAUAAAAAAUUUCAUCUUAUGUAUGAAAAAUUUUUUAUUUCAUAUUUUAACUUGUUCAAAAAAAUUCGCAAAAGAACAAACAUUACUUUGAAUUUUGUUUUUCUUAAAAUUUGAAUAAAAAACUUGUUCAUUGUAGCUUCAUAUUUAUAGAGCAUAUAGAAUCAAGGUUUUUAUAAAAAAGGUUAACUUUUCUUUUACGAUUUGUAUCUUGAAAAUUUUAUUUUAUGACAAUAUAUUGUUUAUAAUCAAUCAAAUAUUACACAAACAGUAAUAUGUUAUUACUUAAAACAUUACUGCUUAAGAUAUUACUAUCCAAGACAGUACUACUUAAGACGUUACUGGUUGAGGUGUUAUAGUACAAUACACUAUGAUACAAAAUAAAACUUUUCCCUAAAUUAAUGCAUGAGAAUUAUUCUUAAGUAAGAAUUCUUAUGCGGAGGGCAGAAAUGUGGAUAUAUGAUUUUGGUUAAUACUUAUUCUCUAAAGAAUAAUGUUACAAUAUAAUAAUGUACAAAGAACAAUCAAAACAAGUGAAUCACUACUUCACGCAGAACAACUAAAACAAGUGUAGCGCUACGUUACGCAGAACAACUAAAAUUAGUAAAGCACCACCCCAUAUGGAACAACUAAUACAAGUAAAAACAAUUACUUUGCACGAAAUAAUCACUUCAUAUGAAUGAUAGUGAAAACGACUCGAAAUAAGUGGCAGUGUUUAUAAAUUACUUUCAUCUUGGAAUGUUUCAGAGAGAUUGGCUUGAUAGCAUAUAUAUGAAGGUAGUUAAUAGAUCUUCCUAUUAACCUUUUUCAGAAGUACAAGUGUUACACCCUUCUACCUUGUUCUUGUAUAUUUGUUCACAUACAUCUUCUUCUCUUGUACUUUUUUAUAUAUACUUCAUCUAUAUUACCUUUUAUUCAAAAAUAAGUCUUAUUACACUUAAUUACAUUAAUGAUUACUCACAUUAAAGUUCUUUAUAACAACGGCAUUCAUGAGACGCAUUAAAAUUUAUUCUUAAGUAACUGUCACUUUUAACACUAUAUAUAGAGCCUCACAAUUCACUUAGAGGGGCUCUUCCCUCCCUCAGGGGCUAAGCAUUCUCCUCAAGAGCUUCUCUCUCUAAUUCUUUUCUACUCUCUAAUUUUCUUUUAAUUGUUUUCGUCUUGCCACGACACUCAGCAUUUAAGGAACUAUUUCAAUCUUCCUCUCCACCACCUCCGACGUAUCUUUUUACUUGUUUACAACAUUUCCUCUCCUUAUCACAAAAACUCCCUUUACAACCCCAAAAGCAGAUUUGGAUCAACUUCUAGUCCCAUGGCACAAUACCCCUUUUCUUAGAAUAAAAGCAAAACAUUGUUAUACUAUUUCAAAACUAAGAUCUCUACUCUAGUCAGCUGAUCAUGCCCACCCCUUAUAACACUCAAGCUAAAGUUUGGAUGGGGACCUAAAGACUGCUGAUGGCAACAUCUGAGCAAUUUUUGUCUUCAGGCUUAAGUUUGCUCCCUUAUAAAAUCAUGGAAUCCUGUCUACUAUUAGCUUACUAAAAAUGAGCUUUUUAACCCCAAAAGCGGAAGCUCCGGUGCGAAGAGAAAGACCAGGAAAGCAAGUUCACAAAGAGGGGCAUCCCCUAGUUUUGGGCUUCGUAUAUUAAAGACUGGGUAGGCUGGGAAUAGCGUGACCAAGUCGCGAUUCCAGCGGGGAGCCGAAGGAAGACUAGAAACACAAGUCUUGCCUAUUUUAUCAUGGUGUAUGACCGUCGAAAUCAUCAAGAUUUUAUCUAUUAUUAUUAUUAUUAUUAUUAGUUGUUGUGAUAGCCAAAUACUAAAAACUGAGGCAAAAUAAGUUGAAGCAGAUAUAUCAGUAGUAUAAUCAACACGUGCCCGCAUUGGCUUCUCAACACAAGCUGAUAUUAUCAAGUUUUCAAAAGGGUGAUGAGAUAGCCAUAGAAUGCUGAAGUUGAAUACAAGAACUGUUCAUAUUUAUUGAUUACAACGAAUAAAAAAGGUUAUGUACACACUUAUGAAGCAGCGAGGUAACGAUGUCACUAGAGCAGUAGAGAGCAUCCCCAAUGAAAAGAACAACGAGGCUGCACAUAUAAUUACAGUUCAAUUAUUUUCUGUGCCCGGCUACCACAAUUCCACCCUUCAUUUCCAAUCAAGCAUGUCUAAUAGCCACAAUACCUCUUCUUUCGAAUUGGCAGCAUCACAAAAAUCCAUUUCAAUUCCAAAAACAUCAAUGACACCAUCAUUUCCAUCUUCCAUGAAAAGCAAAGAGAUCCAUGCCCGGAUUCCUGAAAUGAAGGGGUAGUUGGGAGAGAAGUCGAGGUAGUCGAAUGCAAGGGCCCUAUAAGCUGUUCUAUCUAUAUAAUCAAACAGUGAUUUAUUAAUAAUGCAAGCAACCUUAUUGGAGUCCUUCCGCUCCACGAGCACUGAAACACUCACAGUCUGGCUCCAAGGAACGGUGAACCUUGGCUCAACAGGUAAUGUCAUUUUGUACUCAGGACCCUCAAGAUGAAACUUAAGCAUGUCACAAAUUCCAGUAGGUGGGAUCUUGAUUCCAGUCUGGAGGACAGGGCCGGGGACAACUUCAGAGAAAAUCAAUUUAUCUUCUGUCCAAAUGUCAAUGAAGAAUUCCAAAUCAUCAAAGGAAAGUCUUGGAGGGAGAAGAGUGCGCUUAUGCUGCCGUUUAUAAAAGGUUUGAUACAGUUUGUAGUAGGUUACAGUAGGAGGGUUGGGCCGCUUGCAAAUGGAAGGCCAUCUCUUUGCACAUACACAUCUCCAAAAGUAAUCAUCUCUAGCUAUGUCUCUCCAUUGCUUACAGACCACCAUGCAAGCUGCAAGGUCAAUGCCAUCUAAUAAAGGAAAAACAACCUUCAAAACUUCUUCACAUGACAUUUUCAGAUUGCAAAAUGACCAUCAAAAGCCAAAUCACUAUGUGCUCCAGCAAACUGGAAUCAUUUACAACAUCAGAAGGUGUUAAGGACCCAAUUGCUGAUGGGUUCCUGUGAAAAAGACAAGGUCAACUUUUAAACUCAAGAGCAUCUACGCAUCAGCAUUACGUUCAAAGCAAAAACAUUGCACACACAUGUCGUGGCAAGUUGUCUAUAUUAUGAAAACAGAAAAAAGUAACAUUUAACAAUGCAUUUAACAGAAAAAAAUAAUAUAGAAAGGUAUUCUACCCUCCUGCAAAACUAAAACAUUAUUCCAAACAACCACUUCUGCCCUAAACAAGUCUUUCAAGACUAUAAGCACCAGUCUUUUACCUCCCCAAAGAUAGCUACUUGCCUAUUGUACUGAAAAAUUAUCUGAUUAGGUAAUUACCCUCUAAAUACAAAUGCAACUCGUAUAAGUAGACACACAUUGACACCUUAAUAUAAAGAUAUGAUACUAGCGCUUAACCCCGACUCGAUUAGGUUUCCUUCCUAGCAGGACAAAAACACAUUGCAAUACACAAAUGCACAGAGUAAAAGACACACAUCAUGUGAUUUUAAAGCAGUCAAUUUACACUAUUAACACUUCAACAACAUGAUAAAUCGCCAAUGCAACACCGAUUUGACAAAUAUUCUACUUCAUAUAAUAACUAUCUAGCUUCGUAUAAUUCACAUUACUAGAACUCAAAAACACAAAUAAUUUUUAAGACUGAUCUUAAAAUUUCCACUAGAACCCAAGUAUUAUCUAACAACUACAGCACAAAACUAAAUCAAAAUUCCAUCAGAAUUCAUAAAAUAAAACCCUAAAAAUGGUAUCCAUAACAAAAAGAUCAUAACUUUACAUAAAUUAAGUAAUGGUAAAACGAACCCACAAACAGAAAAAUCAAAUCAAACACACUAUUAUUCCAAAUCUGACGAUAAAUCCGAACUUUCAAUUUCAUACAUGAAAAAUUCACCCAAAAAAAAGCGUAAAAAUGGAUAAAAAGAAAGGGGGGGGUGGGAAAGAACAAACCCCAGAUCGAGAAAAAGCCCAAAAACUGUGUAGGAGAUUGGCAACGAAAAGAAUUGGUUAGAAUUAUUAGGCAACCGAACUUUUGGUGAAAAUUUUGGGGGAAAUUUCGGGAGAAUUUGUUUUUAGCGUUGAACACAGAAAGAAAAAUCUGAAGAAGGUUAGACAAAGGAAGAAAGAGAAAGAGAUAUAGAGAGAGAGAAAAUAAUUUAAGGGAGAGAGAGACAGAGAGGCUGCGGCUUGGAAAAAGUUAAUAAAAGAGACAAAGCCUCCACAUAAAGCAAUGUUUAAUUUAAUCAAAUCAAGUAUGAUUGAUGGUUUGGGUUUUAGUCGUAGCAAGUUGGCCAUUCUUUGCAUGGGCUUACUUUGGACCAGCACCAUGCUUUUCCAGCAUUCAUUGCUCUAGCCGACCCAUCCCCAGGGGAUAGAAGCCCAGCAUUUUUAGGCCAUGGCUACACAUGGGCCUAAGCCUGGCAACGACUUGAUACUUUUUUCCUUUUGUAUUAACAUUUUUAAAGUUAUAAAUAAGUUAUUGUUAUAUAUGGAUACCCGUGAUUAUGUAAUCCGAUAAUAUAGGGUUCAGUUAUGAGUGGAUUAGGCGGGUUCAGUUAUGAGUGGACUCUAAACCAAAAUUCGAUUAUAUAUAACGUUACAAAAUUUUUAAAUUUUGUGAAGUUUGACUCUUUGCCUUUCUUAGUUUAACACAAUCUUUGUCAUAUCAACUAACUUGUUUUUUUGUAAACUAAUAAAUGUAAUAGUAGUUUGUAUUAAUUGAACUAUAGUGCAAACUCAAAUAUGUAAAAUUUUAUUAUUAGUAAGGAUUUAACUCAUGAGAGGGUUGGAAACUUAAACUAAAUUUAUCAUGUUUAAUUAACAAAUUAAUUAAGAAUAAGUUAAACUAAAUUCAAUAAUGCACACUACUAUAAAAAUAAACAAAUUCAAAUAAAAAAUCUAAUAAUAACAAAGUAAAAUUACCAAAAGUUCCAAUAGCAAUACAAAUACAAUUAAACAAAUAUAAAUCUAAAAUAUAAAAAUUCACCAAAUAAAAUUUAUAAAUUAGAACAAAACCAAGCCAUUAAUCAAAAACUAAAACAUAUAAUAUUUUACGUAUAUAUCGCAAAAGUGAGGCAAGGAUAUAAAUAUAUAUUCUCGUCUUCGCCCUUGUUUGCGCUGAAAAAGUCAUUUCUUCCUUAUUCCCAUUACUUAUUUUUUAUUUCUCGAACUCGACCCAUCGGGAUAGAGAAUCAAGUUCCUUGUGGGAUUUGGGUGAGAUUGAUAAAUCCUCAAAUUUGAUGAUUUUCAUUUUCAUCUAUUGUUGUGUUUAAUAUCUUUAAUUUUGGGAGGAAAGUUAAGUUAGGAGUCAUGCAUGUAACAUGUCUUAAAUAUAUGGAUAAUUCUAAUUGAACAUAUUUAUUAAUUGAAUUGAUUUAAGUACCUAUGACAAAUAAGGAUAACAAAUGAAAUUUUCAUAAUAUUAAAAUCAUCUCAUAUUUAGAAACUGGUUCACUUUGUUGUCUUCUUAACAAUCUUUAUGGCUCCUAUAGACACCUAUACCCAUGGAUCCUAAACAAAAAUAAUAAUAAAUAAUAAAUAAAAUUAAUAAAUCACUCUUAAAAAAAAACUGAAACUGACGGUUUCAAUAUGCCUUGCUUCUUUCUCCUACAGUCAACUGAUCAGAUGUUCAGGUUUAUGGCUACCCUAUUGCUUUUCUAAUCACUAUCACUUUGAUACUUAGGAAAUAACCUGCACAGGGCAUUUAUUGCCUCUUAAGCAGCUAGAUUUAGGUCACCUUUGACUGCCACCGCCAGGUUUCUUUUACUUGAAGCCCCUCACCUAUAAAACCAUACUCAGAAGAGCAUGAUUUUACUUUUGGAUUAUCCAAAAACUUGGACAAUUAGGUUCUAUAAGAACCCUUGAAAUUCAUAAGAAAGAAGGGGUCAAUUUUACAAAACUUAGCAGCUAAUUUCACCACAGAAGCCUUAGGUAACCAAUUCCAAAAAAAGAGAGAAAACCCUAAAGCUAAAGAAAAACAAAAAAAAUCCUAACUUUCUGUCCUAUCAAGUAGCCAAAUACCACAAUCAAAAGAUUAAGAAAAGCAUAAAUAAAAAAUAGCAAAAAGUAAUAAAAAAAAGCCUUGAAAAUUUGAAAACUAGAAAGGACCAAUGGGGUUUGUUUUUCCUUCUUUUCUUUUGGGAUCUUCACGGGAUUUAGGGAAUUUAUGGCCUGUGGUUUUCGAUCGGUUUUGUUGGGGAGUGAUUGUGAGGGAGAAAAAGAGGAAGUUGAUGAAAUCGAUAGAGAAGAGGGGCAAUUGACAAGGUAGGCUGACUGUCAUGACCUGAAACUCCCAUCGAGCCCGUGACAAUUGUCGCGACGUCCCGAUAGGCACUCAUUACCCCGAAUGCCGAUUGAAAUCCCGUAAGACUUAGCAUUAGCUUCUGAAUCUCCCCAGUGAGCGACAGUUAUUAAAUCUCACAUUUCAAAAAAAAUCAUAAGUCAUUUCCAAAUCAAAACAAUAAAAUAUUACUUUCUGGCUCACAGGGGUAUUUUCGUCAUUUUUCUUCGAAAAUACCGAAACUCGCCAAAAACAUGGUGUAAAAGCUAAAUAUAUUCAUACAUAUCUUAAAUUAAAUAACUGAAGAAUAAAAUUACUUUUACAGUGACACGUGGACCCCCAACUAACUAAGAAAAUAUAGGGUUAUGAAUCCUUACUUUCUAAGAUGCAACUCCGAGAUUAAUUCUCGUCUUAAUCAACUAUCAACAAAUUGUCUUGAGCCUGAAAAAUGUAUAGGAAGAAGGGUGAGAUUAUAAAAUCCCAGUGAGUAGACAGACAUCAUCAAAAUAAUUUAAAGCCGAGUAAUAUGAGACAAUUAAAAUAAUUCAUCCCAACCCAUAUAAAUAAUUGGAUUGCAUCCAAUUACUCAACAUGGCUUAUGAACUUUUCAAAAACUUGGCUUUUGCCAAAAAUCCAUUCUCGGGGAUACCCCGCGAAGGCAUCUUACCGAGACCGCCAAGGCUGUUUAUUGUCACACACACAAACACAUUUCACCUCUGACAACACAGCCGUUCCUUGGAGUUAGCUGAGUCCCAAUUUCACGUGGUGGCCAACGUGAAGUGUACUCAAAUCCUACCUCGAGAGUUAUCUUACGCGCCUCUCCAAUCGAGGUAAGCUCAAUAAUUGGGAACUGUGCCCCUCUAAUUAGGCUAACCCACAGAACCCCCGUCACUGCAGUGCCCACUUUAUAAUCCACCAACCAAUAAAAUCACAAUAGUAUGACAUGGCUCACUUAACACAUUCAAGGUAAAUCAAAGCAGUUCACAUAUUCUUAAAAUCAUAAAAAUAACCAAUCAUACCCACAUUUAUCAUAAGCCAUUUAAUGUAAAAUCAUAGAUAAACAACACAAUCAUAGUAUAGGUCUCCAAUUACUCUAUUUUUGAAAUCAUUAUUAAAUUUUCAAAAAUAUUAUAAAAUUAUUUUAUAAAAUCCCAUUUUACCAUAAAACACAAUAAUUUUCCAAUUAAACCAUUUUUUCAUAAAAUCACACAAUUAAAUAAAUCUACUCUAGAUAAUUAAGACGAUAGUAAGUUUACUCACUGUACUAGGAGUCGAUAUACUCCUAUUUUCAAUCCGCGGGUACAGUCCUUUACCCGUAUCUAAUGGCUCACCACCUAGCCAUAAUCCAUGGCACAUAUUUCAAUUAAAUUGUGUCUAACAGUCAUAAGCUAUUUCAGGCUCGAUAUAUAUGCAUGAUAUGAAAUGAAAAAUGCACAGGUAGCCAUCUAGACCCGGUAUUGACCUAAGUCGAUUUUUCAUCCAAUAAAUUGGCCAAUGCGUCCAAUUUCACUCCAACUUUCUCCAUUUCUUUUCCAAUCCCUCAAUUCACCAAGCACAACUAAUUAACACACAAUUAGGCAAAUUUAUCUUCACUUUUCUUCUUGGAACUUUCGGCCAUUGAAGGUUCAUGGGGAAAAUGGAUUCUUUUCUUGUUGUUUUGUUUCUAAACAUGUUUAACUAACUCUAAACACCAACAUAACUCAAAAUCAAACAAUUCCAACAUCUUUCUCUCUCCAUACCCAUUUUGACCAGCCAUAAUUUCAUCAUGAAAACAUGUAAUUUAACCAUGGAAAUUAAGGAAAAAUGCAUGGGUAAGGUAAAUCACUAGCAAAAUCAAAGAAAUUUUACCUUUGCUUGAUCAAAUCCUUGAAUUCCAACACUUUCUCUUUGAUUUUUCCCACCUAGGGUUUGUUCUUCCUUGGUUUCUCUUCUCUUCUGGUUUGGCUGAUCACUAUGGGAGAAAUGGGCUGAUUUUUUUGCCUUUUUAUAAAGAAAUAAUAAAAUAAUAAAAACAUGACACAUGGCAUUUCCUUAUUGGCUCAAAUUUUAAAUAUUUGACUUUUAAUUCUUUAAUUCUCCACCACACAUUUCUCAUGUUUAUCCAUUUCCAUGAUGAAUAAAAUCCCUUGGUCUUGACAAGUGUCGGGGGUGAAAAUUUACCGAUUUGCCCCCGGGGUGGCAAAAUUACCAUUUCACCCUUAUACUCCAAAUUAUACCGAAAUUAAAAUUUUUCACUUCUAAACUUCAAAUCAUACUCCAAUACUUAAAUCAUACUCCAAUAAGUCAAAUGGACCAAAAAAAAUCUUUUCUAAAAAUUUUCAUUUUGUCCCCAAGUGGCAAAUGACCAUUUUACCCCUAGAUAGUGAAAAUUCCAGUUUGACUCCAAAUUGAUCCUCGAACUCCGAAUUACCAUUUUGAGUCAUCCAUGAACUGUGAAACUCUUAAUUUCACCUUAAAAUUCCUAUUUGAACUAGUUCGAGGCUUAAUCGACUUAAUGAUACCAUUAGGGGCAAUAUCGUCUUUUAACGAUUUCUCGAACUUCCUAAAUAUACAAACAUUCUAUCGAGCAUGUGAAUGACAUUAUAAUUAUUUUACAAAGCAGGGUUUGACACCGACAGUGAGAGUAGUGACUGUUUAGGGAAAGAAGAAAGGGUGAAGAAAGGGGUUGAAGAACAAGCUCAGAGAAAAGGGGGAGGAAAACUGUAAUUAGAGAGAGAAAAUGGGAAGGUGAAGUGAACAGAGAAGAAAGAAAAAUAGUUUUUAUACUUAAGGUUAACACCUGAAAACGACACCAUUUUAAGAAGUAAAAAGGGAAGGAACAUCAGUCAAAUGACGUCGUUGAGGACAUUUGGGAAGUUAUAGCAUAAGCACUAAAAUGGUGCAAUUUGAGUAAAGCUCUGUGAGCCUUGGGAAGCAGAUCUGUUGAAGUGGGGUUGUGUCAUGACCCGAAACUCCCAUCGGCCCCGUGACAACCGUCGCGACGUCUCGAUAGGCACUCAUUACCCCGAAUACCGAUCGAAACCCCGCAAGGCUUAGCAUCAGCUUCCGCAUCUCCCCGGUGAGCGACAGUGAGCGACAGUUAUUAAAUCUCACAUUGCAAGAAAUCAUAAGUCGUUUCCAACUCAAAACAAUAAAAUAUUAUUUUUUAGCUCACAGGGGCAUUUUCAUCAUUUUUUUUUAAAAUUUCGAAAUCCGUAAAAAUGUAAUAUGUAAGUGGAAACGCAUAUUUCAUGAUUUAAAUUAAAUUUUGAAGUCUAAAACAUUCGUUUAAAGUAAAAUUAUAACUAUUUGAAUAUAAUAAAAAUAUUAAAUAAAAUAUUCUAUUUUCUUAAAACACAAUAUUUUCAAAGUCUUCCUAAAAUAACUUUUGUAGCGUAAGAGUAAAAUAAAUUUAUUCAUAUAGUAAUAAAGAUAAUUAAAGUAUGAAAUUUCGUUUACAGUGACACGUGGGCCCCCAAUUGAGCAAGAAGGUGUAGGGCUAUGAAUCCUUACUUUCUAGGAUGCACUCCGAGAUUAAUUCCCGUCUUAAUCAACUAUCAACAAACUGUCUUGAGCCUGAAAAAUGGAUAGGGAGAGGGGUGAGAUUAAAUAAUCCCAGUGAGUAAACAAUUACCAUCAAAAGCAUCUAAAGUCGAGUAAAUGGAGACAAUAUAAAAACGUUAUAUCUCAAUAAUGUUCAUAACACAAAAUUCGUUUCAAUCUAUACCAAACAAUUUCUUUUUAUCAAAAUUUUUCGGCUUAUGAAUUUCUUAAACUUGGCCCCUGCCAGAAUCAUUCUCGCGGGUACCUUUGUCAAGGUAUCCCACUGAGACUGUCAAGGCUGUUCAAUGACCCAUACCCAUAAACAUGUUUUCACAUUUGACACACAGCUGUUCCUUGGCGUUGGCUGAGUCUCACUCUCAUGUGAUGGCUCGAACGUGAGGUGCACUCAAAUCUUACCUCAGGAGAUACUUCAUCCAACAUCUCCCCUCGGAGGUAAUUAUAUAAUUGGGUUACCGUACCCCUCUCAUAGGCAGUCCACGAAAACCCCAACCACUGCAGUGACUGUUUAAUAUACCACCAGACCCAUAAAAAUUUCAGCAGCAUAAUAUGGCGAAUAAAAUGUAAUCCAGUCUACCGAGACCAAUCCAAAACUGUUCAUAUAUUUCAUGCCAACCCAAAAAAAUUUAGCCAUCAUGCUACCAUAGUGUCAUAAGCCACAAUUUCAAUAACAUAUAAAAUCAUAAAUUUCAACACAGUCUCCAUAUACUCAAAUUUCUCAAAACAAUAUUUGAUUUCAAAACCAGAAUAAAUCUCAUUUUUAUUAAAAAAUAUUUUAAUUAGAAAACAUAAUAUUUUAUAAUUUAAACUCACCAUUCAAUAAGAGCAUCAAACAAGUAUAAUUACUCUGGAUAUUUAAGAAGAUAAUUUGUCCACUCACAGUUCUAGGAGUCGAUGUACUCCUAAUCCCAGUCUUCAAGUACAAUCUCUGUACUUUUAUCAGUGUAAUUUGCUCACCACCUAUCCACAAUGUACAAUACAUAAUUCACCACAUCAAUGCUUGACCAUUAUAAAAUCAAUUCAGGCUCAGUCUAUAUGCAUGAUAUGAUAUACAACUUAUCCGACCAUCACUUAAAUGUGGUGCUGACCUAAUUCGGUCUAUUACCCGAUUAAAUCGAUAUACGUGCCUGUUUAAACUCCAAAUUAAUUUUUUUCAAUUUCUAUACCUCAAUUGCACCCAAAUUGACUUAAUGUCCCUCAGUGUGGUGCAAAUUAUCAGUUUCGAUAGCAAAUUACGAAAAUACCCCUAAUGGGUAAAAAUUCGUAUUUUUGCUCCGAAAAUUCCCAUUAUUUUUCUAGACUCAUAAUUCAUCAUUAAUCAUCAUAAUUCCUCAAAUAAACAUCAAGAUCAUCAGCCAAUAUUCCCCUAGAAAAUUUGGCCAAUAAUGGUAAUGAAGGAAAAUAAAUUCUUUUCUUGUUAUUUUGUUCCUAAAUAUGCUAAACUAACUAAAAACACUAACAUAACUUAAAAUCAAAUUAAUCUAACAACUUUCUCUCUCCUAACCCCUUUUGAUCAGCCAUCAAUUCAUCAUGAAAACAUGUAAUUUAGGCAUGAAAAAUUAGGAGAAAUGCUUAAGGAAGAUAGAUUUCAAGCUUAAGUUGAAAAAUCCUACCUUUUUCACUUGUUUUUCUUGAUUUUCCAUACUUUUUCUCUUGAAAUUCCUCACCUAGGGUUUGUUCUUCCUCUCUUUCUCUCUCUUCCUUGCUUGGCUGAAUAUUUGGAGAGUAAUGGGCUGAUUUAUGCUAUUUUUUUAGUUAAAUAAUAAAAUAUCCUAAGCUUGACACAUGGCAUUUUCUUAUUGGUUAAUUUUUAAAACUUUUAAAAUUUUAAACCUUUUAUCUCCACCACAUGAUUAGUCAAAGGUCAAAAAUGAGGAUAAAGGAAGACCUUGUGCUGGACAAAUGUCUUGGUGGUGGAAAAUUACAAUUUUACCCCUAGAGUGACAAAAUUAUCAUUUUACCCAUAUACUCCAAAUCAUAUCGAAAUUAAAAUUUUUCACUUCUAAACCUCAAAUCAUACUCCAAUAAGUCAAAUGGGACCUAAAAAAUCUUUUUUAAAAUUUUUCAUUUUGGCCCCAAGUGGCAAAUGACCAUUUUGCCUUUGGAUAGUGAAAAUUUCGGUUUGACUCCAAAUUGAUCAUCGAACUCCAAAUCACUAUUUUAAGUCAUCUCUGGACCAUGAAAUUCUUAAUUUCACCUUAAAAUUUCUAUAUGAACUAGUUCAAGGCUUAAUCGACUUAAUGAUACCAUUAGAGGCAGUAUCGUCUUUCAACGAUUUUCUCAAACUUCCUAAAUAUGUAACCAUUCUAUUGAGUAUAUAAAUGACGUCGUAAUUAUUUUAUAAAACAGGGUUUGACAGGUUGGUUGUCUUGGGCUGUCUCUUGCCCAAGGAAGGUAAACCUUUUUCUUUUUGUGGGUUUGGUAUGAUUUUGUUGUAUUGUGCUUGGCCCAAAUAUUUGGUUGGAAAAUAAAUUAGUUUUAGUAUGUGAUUAAUUAAAAUAAAAAAUAAAAAAUAUGCAGUAAAAUUAUCAAAUGUUAAGGUAAAAAUAUAAAGAGAAAAAAGUAAAAAAUUAUAAAUAGAGAGAUAGAUAAAUAUUUAAUAAUAAAGUGAUAGAUUUAGUUAUAUAGAAUAUAAGUGUAUAUAUAUAUAGGAAAAGAUGAAUGCCUAACCAAAAAAUAGUAAUAAAUAAUAGUAGAUCUAGGUUNUAUAUAUAUAUAUAUAUAUAUAUAUAUAUAUAUAUAUAUAUAUUUGAAAAGAUGAAUGCCUAAUGAAAAAAAUAGUAAUAAAUAAUAGUAGAUCUAGGUAAAAAAUACAAAUAUAUGUGAUAGAUAAAUAAAUAUUUAGCAGUAAAAAUAUAAAACUAAGUAAAUAAAAUAAUAUUUAGUUAUAAAAAAUUAAUCUAGCUGAAGGAAAGAAAAUAUAUGAAAAUGUAAAAGUAUAUGUAUAUUUUGUCAUAAGCAAAAUAGACUAAAUAAUGAGUGAAAAUAAUAUUAAUAUAGAUAAUUAUAUGAAAGUGACUUAAAUAAAAAAGGUAGAUAAAAUGUAAAAAGAUAAGUUAGGCAUGUAAAUAGAAAUGAGAUAUUUAACUAUAUAAAUUUAUAUUCAUAUAGGUAUAUAUAAAAAAAAUAAAAGAAUGGGACCUAGUAUGAAAUUAUUAAAUAUAAAAAUAUAACGAUUGUUUUAGGAUCAAUACCAAUGAUAGGAUGUCCAUUCAGAACGUGAGAAGUCAUAAUUCCCAAUGAAUUAUUAGGGACUUUGAUUAAGAUCCCACUAGUACCAUGUGAAGGUUUUAAUUUUGAGUCAUGAUGUUUCCAAUUCUAAAUAAAUAAAAAUUGUAUUAACCUAAUUACUAACCAAACAAAACAUAAAAACAAAGGAAACAAAAUAAUAAUAAUAAUAAUAAUAUACAAGAGGGAAUAGAUAAAAUAUGUAAUUUUAAAAUAUAAGAUUAUAUAAAAUAAGGAUUUUCAAGAUAAUAAAUAAAUAAAUAAUGAUAAUAAAAUUUUUAAAGAGAGUAAGAUGAUAACAAUAAUGAAUAUAGAGAAUAAUCAAUAGCGGACAUAAGAGUUGGUAUAGUACGUCUUGCAUUAUAAUCGCAUUUAAAUGUCAUGGCUUGUAGACAUUACGUGUGCGAGUCCAAAUCUCGAUGAUGGGACUUUUCAAGGGAGCUUGCAAAGGCGAGUUCUUUCAAAAAAUUUCCUAGGUGAAAGGAUACUUUCGAGUCUCACCAGUACGAUAGGAAGGCUCGGAGAAUAUCCUUAAUAAAAAGCUUCUGCUCGUAUUAAGGUCUGCAUUCAUAAAAAUAUUAUUUUUUACUUGCAAACGACUACCCCGAUGAUGGGAUUUACUCGAUAAACUUGCGAAAGUGAGUUUCUCGAGUAUUUUCUAGGUGAGAAAUUACUCUCGGAUCUUACCAGUAUGAUGGGUGAAUUCGAAUUCGCUUAGGACAUCAAUCGAGGACAAUUUUUAACGUCAAAAGAUCAGAUUGUUUACUCUAAAUGGUCUAAGUGUUCAUUACUUGAAAGAUCUAAGGAUUGCUUUGUAAAUUCUUGUAACACCCGACCCUAAAUUAUCUAUGACAUAUCAUUCACAUGCUUUGGAUAGCAUGUUUGUAUAUUGAAUUGCCCGGAAAACAAGUUAAAUGACUGUAUUGCCCCUAAUGGUACGGUUCAGUCAAAUAAGUCUUGAACUAGUUUAAACAGAGAAUCGAGGAUGAAUUUGAAAAAACUAAAACCUAUGGGUUGAUUUAAAAUGAGGAUUCAGAGUUUGAGGUCCGAUAUGGAGUUAAUCCGGACUUUAAGUAUUUUAAGGGUAAAAUGGUAAAUUACCACCUGAGGACGAAUAUGGAAAAUUUUAAUCCCGUUUGAUUAAGAUUGAUUAUAUUAAACAUAUUGGAGUUUAAUUUGAGGGUUUGACAGUGAAAAAAUUUAAUUUCGGUGAUUUCUAGAGUAUAGGGGCAAAAUCAUAAAUUUUUCACCCGCGGACAAAAUUUGAGAUUUUGAGAGAAUUUAGAUCAAAAUUGACAAAUUGGAGAGUGGUACGAGUAUAAGGGAUGAAAAAUAUGUCUAUGGGCAAUUUUUCAGUUUUUGGGGUAAAAAUGUAAUUUUGACUUUUACAGGGGCAAAAGUGUAAAUUUCAAAAAUUACUCCACCAAGACUUUGGAUAAGUCUUAGAAUUUUAUCUAAGCUAUGGAUAUGUUAGACAAGUGUAUGGUGAAAAUUUGGAAAUAAAUGGAUGGCUAGAAUUUAAGGAAUUAAUAAAAAAAAUGAAUAGAAUAAUAUUAUAUUAUUUUAGCCUUUAAAAAUGUCAAAAUUCCAGAAUUCUCAUCUUCUUCAGCCGUCCAAACCAGGAGAGAAAAAGGGGGAAAAGAAAUAAGAACCCUAGCUGAAAAAUUUGGGAAAAAUAAAGAGAAAUCAAGAAAUCAAGCAUUAAAAAGGUAAAUUUCAUUGAUUUUCCUUGUGAUUUUCACUACCCAUGCAUUUGUUUCUCAUUUUCAUGCAAAAUUAGAAAGUGGGUAUAGACACCCAUGCUGGCCAAACCUCCACGGAUGAGUUUUGAACUUGAAUUUUGGUUGAUUUUAAUUAAAUUAAGUGAUUUUAGUUAGGUUAUAUUGAACUAUAGCAAAAAUAAGCUAGAAAAAUAAUUUUCUCCCAUUGAAACCCAUUAUACCGAAUUUUCUAGGGGAAUAUUCGCUGCUGAUCUUGAUGUUUAUUUGAGGAAUUAUGAUGAAUAAUGAUGAAUUAUGAGCCUAGAAAAAUAAUGGGAAUUUUCGGAGCAAAAAAAUGAAUUUUUACCCACUAGGGUUAUUUUCGUUAUUUGCUAUCGAGACUGAUAAUUUGCACCACACUGAGGAACAUUAAGUCAAUUUGGGUGCAAUUGAGGUAUAGAAACUGAAAAAAAAUUAAUUUGGAGUUUAAACGGAUGUGUAUAUCGAUUUAUCCCGAAAUAGGCUAACAUCUCGUUUAGGCAAAAUUUAGACAUUUUGCACUUCAUAUCAUGCAUUAGUAGUAUAAAUUAGCUUAUUUUGGUUUAGUACCAAAGCAGUAAACCUCUUAAUUGUGCAAUUUGUCAAGGUGGCGAAUCCUUUGGUAAGGGUAAAGAAAUUGCACCCGAGGAAUAAUAGUUGGAGUACUCAAAUUUAGUUUUCAGAAACUGUGAGUAAACUUAUUAUCGUCUUAAUUAUCUAGAGUAGUUUUAUACAAUUGUGUGAUUUUAUGAAAAAUGGGUUUAUAUGGUAAAUUGCUAUGUUUUAAGAGAAAUUGUGAUUUUAUAAAAUGAUUUUAUAAAUUUUCUAGAAAAUCGAAUACUGGUUUUGACAAUAGAGUAAUUUGAGACUGCCUGCUUGUGUUGUAAAUUUAUGGUUUUAAAUUGAAUGGCUUAUGACAAUAAAUGAGCAUGAAUGGCUAAACUGAUUUUAGUGUUAGAAUUAUUUGUACUGUGUAUUUAGCCUUGAGAGGCUAGGUUGCGAUAAAUUGCCAUGUCAUGCAGAAAAAGAUUUUAUAAAUCAAGUGGUAGAUAAAAGAUUAGCUACUGCAGUGGUGGGGGGUUCCGUGGGCCAGCCUAUUAGAGGGACACGAUCAACUCCUUUAUAUUCUCACCUCGGUCGUAAAGGCGCGUAGGGUAUCUCCUGAGGUGAGCUUUUUGAGUGCACUUCACGUGGACCACCGCGUGAGAGUGAGACUUAGCCAGCGCUAAGGAACGGCUAUGUUUCAAAAUAAAAAUAUGAUUUAUGCGAAAUAUAAAUUUUUAACAACCUUGGCGGACUUCGUUGGAUACCCCUGGUCCAAGUGUCCCCGAGUACAAGAUUUGGCAUGAGCCAAGUUUUGAGUAAUUCACGAGCCAUAUUGAUUAUUUGGUUGAAAUGAAUAUUCGUUAUGUGAAAAAUUUAUUGAAGUUAAUUAUUUUUAAUUGUCUCCAUUUACUCGCCUUUAGAUAGUUUAGAUGGUGUCUGUUUACUCAUUGGGAUUUUAUAAUCUCACUACCCUCAAUUCCCCACAUUUUAGGUUCGGGAUAGCCAGUAGAUAGCUGAUUGCAUCAAGGACUUCAGUUAGCCUUGCAUUGUCAAAAUUAUAGAUUCACAGACUCGCAUCUUAUUGGUUAGUUGGGGGCCCACGUGUCAUUGUAAAAGUAAUUUUAUACUUUAGUUAUCUGAUUUAAAAUAUGUAUGAACAUAUUUAGCUUUUACACCAUGUUUUUGGCGAGUUUCGGUAUUAUCGAAGAAAAAUGACGAAAAUGCCCUUAUGAGCCAGAAAAUAAUAUUUUAUUAUUUUGAUUUGGAAACGACUUAUGAUUUCUUGAAAUGCAAGAUUUAAUAACUGUCGCUCACCGGGGAGAUGCAGAAACUGAUGCUAAGCCUUGCGGGGUUCCGAUCGGCAUUCGAGGUAAUGAGUGCUUAUCGGGAUGUCGCUGCGGUUGUCACGGCCCGAUGGGAGUUUCGGGUCGUGACAAUUCUCCUUCUUUUCUUUAUUUCAACCCCUACUUUUCACCAUUAUAUAAUUCCACAUGAUGAUUGUCAUAGAAAUGAAUGAUGAUUGGUAAAGAGAUGAACUAAUUAAGUAAGAAACUAUAUUUGUUGUUCAAUAAAAGACUUAAUGAUGAGGAAAAAAGAAAAAAGAGCCUCAACAUGAAAAAGGUCCAAUGUCAAAAGAAAUGAUGCCUAAGGAAAAUUAGGAAUUUCAGCCAAUGGGAAAGGCGUAGACAAAGAUGAGUGAAAGUUGUAGUGAAAAGGUUGGAUGAAGUAAGAAAAGGGUCAAGAAACCUUAAUGAAUCAUAAACAUGAAAACAUUCCAUCAAUUCAAUCGUGUACACAUGCCUAACCAUGCAUAUGAUCAUUUUCAAACAAGAAUCAAAAUUAAUACAUGUUCCAAGGUUCAAAAGUGGAAAUUUAUCGAACCUAAAGUGUUCAGGUUGUAAAACUUUGAUUAAGAUGGAAGUAUUUGAGUAUUUCAUUUUCAUAAAACAACUAAUGCAGAAAGGAUUUAAGCCUAAUUAAGUUGGCACGAGAGAUUCCAAGCCAAAUUUAGUUGACACUAGUAUGAGUUUAAAAAUGAUGUCAAUCCAAUUAAGUUGACAUUAGAUAAUUUAAAAUCGAACUUGUUUUGAAAUAGGUCGAGCCUAGGUCAAGUCUAAGAAUUUUAAUUUUUAAAUCGAAUCUGUUUUGACAUAGGUCGAGCCUAGGUCAAGUCUAGGAAUUUCAAUUUUUUAAUCAAACUUGUUUUGCUAUAGGUCGAGCCUAGAUUGAGUGUAGAAAUUUCAAUUUUUUAAAUCAAACCUAUUUUGAUAUAGGUCCAGCCUAGGUCAAGUUUAGAAAUUCAGUUUUUAAAAUCAAACCUAUUUUGAUAUAGGUUGAGCCUAAGUCGAGUUUAGGAAUUUCAAUUUUUAAAUCGAACCUAUUUUGAUAUAAGUUGAGCUUAAGUCAAAUCUAGGAAUUUUGAUUUUCAAUUUGAACUUAUUUUGAUAUAGGUCGAGCCUAAGUCAAGUCUAGGAAUUUGAAUUUUUAAAUCGAACCUAUUUCGAUAUAGGGCGAACCUAGAUCAAAUCCCAAAAUUUCAAUUUUUAAGUCAAACAUAUUUUAAGAUAGGUCAACCCUAGAUUAAGUUUAAGAACUUCAAUUGUUUAAAUCGAACUUGCUUUAAGAUAGGUCAAAUAUGGUGCUUACGUCUUUGCACUAUUCUUGAUUCUCAAGAAUGUGUAAAGAGAGGCAACUGUAGCACCUAUACCCAUAGAUCUCAAAUAAAAAAAAUAAUAAAUAAUAAAUAAAUUGCUCUUAAAAAAAUUGAAAUUGAUGGUUUUAGUAUUCUUAGCCUCUUUCUCCCAUAGUCAACUGAUCAGAUGUUCAAGCCGAUGGCUACCCUAUUGCUUUUCUAAGCACCGUCACUUUGAUACUUAGGAAACAGCUUGCACAAGGCAUUUAAUGCCCUUUGGGUAGCUAGAUUUGGGUCACCUCUAGCUGCCAUCCCUAGGUUUUCUUUUACAUGGAGCCCUUCAUUUGUAAAAUCAUGCUAAAAAAAGCAUGAUUUCAUUUCUAGAUUGUCCAAAAACUUGGAAAAUCGAGUUCUAUAAGAACCCUUGAAAUUCAUAAGGAAGAGGGGGCAAUUUCACAAAACUUAGCAGCCAAUUUCAUCACAGAAGCCUUAGGCAACCAAUUUCAAAAAAAGAGAGAAAACCCUAGAGCAAAAGAAAAACUCAAAAAAAUCCUAACUUUCUAUCCUAUCAAACAACCAAAUACCAUAAUCAAAAGAUUUAAGAAAAGCUGAAAUAAAAAUAACAAAUAGCAAUAAAAAAAAAGGCCUUGAAAAUUCGAAAACUAGAAAAGACUAAGGGGGUUUGUUUUUCUUUCUUUUCUUUUGGGAUCUUCACGAGAUUUGGGGAAUUUAGGGUUGGUGGUUUUUGAUCGGCUUGGUUGGGGAGUGAUUGUGAAGGGAAAAUAGAGAAAGUUGAUGAAAUCGAGAGAGAAAAAGGGCAAUUGACGAGGUAGGCCGGCAGUGAGAGUAGUGAUAAUAUAGGGAAAUAAGAAAGGGUGAAGAAAGGGGUUGAAAAACCAGCUUCAGAGAAGGGGAAGGAAUACUGUCAUUAGAGAGAGAAAAUGGGAAGGUGAAGUGAAGAGAGAAGAAAGAAAAAUAGUUUUUAUACUUAAGGUUAGCACUUAAAAACGACAUUAUUUUGGGAAGUAAAAAGGGAAGGAGCAUCAGUCAAAUGAUGUCGUUUCGAGCGUUUGGGAAGUUGUAGCAUAAGCACUAAAACGGUGCGAUUUGAGUAAGGCUUUGUGAGCCUUUGGAAACAGAUUUGUUGAAGUGGGUUUGGUUGUCUUGGGCCGCCGUUUGCCCAAGGAAGGUAAACCCUUUUCCUUUGUGGGUUUGGUAUGAUUUUGUUGUAUUGUGCUAGGCCCAAAUAUUUGGUUAGAAAAUAAAUUAGUUUUAGUAUGUGAUUAAUUAAAAUAAAAAAUAAAAAAUAUAUAGAAAAAUUAUCAAUUGCUAAGGUAAAAAUAUAAAGUGGAAAAAGCAAUAAAUUAUAAAUAGAGAGAUAGAUAAAUAUUUAAUAAUAAAGUGAUAGAUUUAGUUAUAUAGAAUAUAAGUGUGUGUGUGUGUGUGUGUUAUACCUAUCAAAAUGGGCUUGGCCCAUUGGGCCAACCCAUUUUUCAUUUAAUAUGGGGUGGGCUGGGCCAUGAAAAUUUAGGCCCAUAUUUAAACCGGGCCUAGAUGGGCCAGCCCACCAAAUCAAUAGGCUAGGGUGGGUUGGGGCGGCCAGCCCUAUGGGCCAAAAAAAUUAAUAAUUUUAAUUAAUUUAAUAACUUUAUAUAUUUAAUUAUAUAAAAGUAAUAAUUUAAUUGCCAAUAAUAUUACUUAUUUUAUAUAUUUUAAUGUGUUUUGUCACGACCCGAAACUCCCAUCGAGCCCGUGACAACCACCGCGACGUCUCGAUAGGCACUCAUUACCCCGAAUGCCGAUCGAAACCCUGUAAGGCUUAGCAUCAGCUUCUGCAUCUCUCCAGUGAGCGACAGUUAUUAAAUAUCACAUUUCAAAAAAAUCAUAAGUCAUUUCCUAUUCAAAACAAUAAAAUAUUAUUUUUUGGCUCACAAGGGCAUUUUAGUCAUUUUUCUUCGAAAAUACCGAAAUUCACCAAAAACAUGGUGUAAAAGCUAAAUAUAUUCAUACAUACUUUAAAUCAAAUAACUGAAGAAUAAAAUUACUUUUACAGUGACACGUGGGCCCCCAACUGACUAAUAAAAUGUAGGGUUACGAACCCUUACUUUCUAAGAUGCAACUCCGAGAUUAAUUCUCGUCUUAAUCAACUAUCAACAAAUUGUCCUGAGCCUGAAAAAUGGAUAGGAAGAGGGGUGAGAUUAUGAUUACAUAAUCCCAGUGAGUAGACAGACAUCAUCAAAAUAAUCUAAAGCCGAGUAAUAGGAGACAAUUAAAAUAAUUCAUCCCAACCCAUAUAAAUAAUUGGAUUUCAUUCAAUUACUCAACAUGGCUUAUGCACUUUUCAAAAACUUGGCCCUUGCCAAAAAUCCAUUCUCGGGGAUACCCCGCGAAGGCAUCUUACCGAGACCGCCAAGGUUGUUUAUUGUCACACACACAAACACAUUUCACCUUUGACAACACAGCCGUUCCUCGGCGUUGGCUGAGUCUCAGUUUCACGUGGUGGCCAGCGUGAAGUGUACUCAAAUCCUACCUCGGGAGUUAUCCUACGUGCCUCUCCAAUCGAGGUAAGCUCAAUAAUUGGGAACCGUGCCCCUCUAAUUAGGCUGGCCCACGGAACCCCCGUCACUGCAGUGCCCAAUUUAUAAUCCACAAACCAAUAAAAUCACAAUAGUAUGACAUGGCUCACUUAACACAUUCAAGGCAAAUCAAAGCAGUUCACAUAUUCUCGAAAUCACAAAAAUAACCAGUCAUACCCACAUUUAUCAUAAGCCAUUUAAUGAAAAUCAUGGAUAAACAACACAAUCAUAGUAUAGGUAUCCAAUUACUCUAUUUUUGAAAUCAUUAUUAAAUUUUCAAAAAUUUUAUAAAAUUAUUUUAUAAAAUCUCAUUUUUCCAUAAAACACAAUAAUUUUCCAAUUAAACCAUUUUNNNNNNNNNNNNNNNNNNNNNNNNNNNNNNNNNNNNNNNNNNNNNNNNNNNNNNNNNNNNNNNNNNNNNNNNNNNNNNNNNNNNNNNNNNNNNNNNNNNNNNNNNNNNNNNNNNNNNNNNNNNNNNNNNNNNNNNNNNNNNNNNNNNNNNNNNNNNNNNNNNNNNNNNNNNNNNNNNNNNNNNNNNNNNNNNNNNNNNNNNNNNNNNNNNNNNNNNNNNNNNNNNNNNNNNNNNNNNNNNNNNNNNNNNNNNNNNNNNNNNNNNNNNNNNNNNNNNNNNNNNNNNNNNNNNNNNNNNNNNNNNNNNNNNNNNNNNNNNNNNNNNNNNNNNNNNNNNNNNNNNNNNNNNNNNNNNNNNNNNNNNNNNNNNNNNNNNNNNNNNNNNNNNNNNNNNNNNNNNNNNNNNNNNNNNNNNNNNNNNNNNNNNNNNNNNNNNNNNNNNNNNNNNNNNNNNNNNNNNNNNNNNNNNNNNNNNNNNNNNNNNNNNNNNNNNNNNNNNNNNNNNNNNNNNNNNNNNNNNNNNNNNNNNNNNNNNNNNNNNNNNNNNNNNNNNNNNNNNNNNNNNNNNNNNNNNNNNNNNNNNNNNNNNNNNNNNNNNNNNNNNNNNNNNNNNNNNNNNNNNNNNNNNNNNNNNNNNNNNNNNNNNNNNNNNNNNNNNNNNNNNNNNNNNNNNNNNNNNNNNNNNNNNNNNNNNNNNNNNNNNNNNNNNNNNNNNNNNNNNNNNNNNNNNNNNNNNNNNNNNNNNNNNNNNNNNNNNNNNNNNNNNNNNNNNNNNNNNNNNNNNNNNNNNNNNNNNNNNNNNNNNNNNNNNNNNNNNNNNNNNNNNNNNNNNNNNNNNNNNNNNNNNNNNNNNNNNNNNNNNNNNNNNNNNNNNNNNNNNNNNNNNNNNNNNNNNNNNNNNNNNNNNNNNNNNNNNNNNNNNNNNNNNNNNNNNNNNNNNNNNNNNNNNNNNNNNNNNNNNNNNNNNNNNNNCCAUGAUGAUAAAAUCCCUUGGUCUUGACAAGUGUUGAGGUGAAAAUUUACCGAUUUGCCCCCAAGGUGGCAAAAUUAACCAUUUCACCCUUAUACUCCAAAUUAUACCGAAAUUAAAAUUUUUCACUUCUAAACUUCAAAUCAUACUCCAAUACUCAAAUCAUACUCCAAUAAGUCAAAUGGACCAAAAAAAUCUUUUCUAAAAAUUUCCAUUUUGUCCCCAAGUGGCAAAUGACCAUUUUGCCCCUAAAUAGUGAAAAUUCCGGUUUGACUCCAAAUUGAUCCUCGAACUCCGAAUUACCAUUUUGAGUCAUCCCUGAACUGUGAAACUCUUAAUUUCACCUUAAAACUCCUAUUUGAACUAGUUCAAGGCUUAAUCGACUUAAUGAUACCAUUAGGGGCAAUAUCGUCUUUCAACGAUUUCUCAAACUUCCUAAAUAUGUAACCAUUCUAUUGAGCAUGUAAAUGACGUUGUAAUUAUUUUAUAGAAUAGGGUUUGACAUGUUUAAUCUUUACUUAUCAAAUUAAUAAUUUUAAUUUAUGAAUUAAAUCAUAACAUAAUUUUAUUAAUAGAAAAUUUAUUAACUAAAAUUAUAAAAAUAAUUUUUUUUUUGUAAAAAAAGAAAUGGGCUGGCCCAACCCAGCCUAUGGGCUAGCAAGGGGUGGGAUGGGUUGGGGAUUUCACAACCCAUAUAAAAAAUGUGCUAGCCCAGCUCGGCCCAUAUUUUUUUAGCCCAUAAUGGCUAGGGUCGAGCUGGCCCAUAUUGACAGGUCUAGUGUGUGUGUGUGUGUAUAUAUAUAGGAAAAGAUGAAUGCCUAACAAAAAAAAAUAGUAAUGAAUAAUAGUAGAUCUAUGUUAAAAAUACAAAUAUAUGGGAUAGAUAAAUAAAUAUUUAGCAGUAAAAAUAUAGAACUAAGUUAAUAAAAUAAUAUUUCUAAAUUUCAAAGUGACUCGCUAAAUCAAAAAUUUUUCUAAAUUUCUAAAUUAGUAAUAAAUAUUGUUUUAUGAAUUUCUAAAUUUCAAAGUGACUUGCUAAAUCAAAAAUUCCUUUUAAGAAUUGAUUGCAAAUAUGCAAAAGAAGUUUUACAACAAGAUGUAAUUCCUGUGUUUUUAUGAGUGUAUUGAAUUUCUGUAAGAGGGGGAUGUGUUUUUAUUUCUCCUUUAUUAGUUUGCUAUUUGUUAUUAGUUUUUACUGUAUUUAUUGAUUGCUCAUAAUGAUUUUUAAACCAGUUAAAGAAUUCUAUUAAUAUUUUGUUCUUAUUCAUAAAAUUGUAAUAUUCUUUUAGGAUUUCAUCUUUUUGUUGUUCAUAAUAUUUGAAAUAAUUUUCUCUUUUUUGUUUAUUUGUCUUUGAAUAAAAUUGUUUUCUACACCAAUCUUUGUCUAUUUCAAAUUCUUUUUCUAACAUAAAUAUUUCUAAAUUUUGCUCUUCAUUUGAGUUUAAAUUUGGAUUAUUUAUCAUAGAUGAGUAUGUUGGUGACAUAUUGGGAGAAUUUGUUGAACUAUUUCUUUGGGUUGUGUAAACAGGUUGGGGUAUAUUGGAGGAGUUGUUUACUCUUUGUAGAUUUGUCCUAACUGUUGAAGGUAUUGAGGAUACAGAGGCUCUAGCCGUUCUAAAUUCUGUUUUUGUUACAGAUGGAUUUUUGCUUGCUAUGUUGAUGUUUCUCAUGGAAGAUGUUAUUUGAUCAAAAUCAAAAGAUUGUCUGGGAGGUAUUCUUGGGUGUCUAUUGAAGACAAGUUCCACUAAACCAUCUCUAUAUUCAGCUAUAUGAUUUAUUUCUGUAUUUUGAAUAACUAUUGGUACAAGAAAAAAAAUAUGUUAAAAACUAAACCCUAAACCCUAAACCCUAAAGAUGAAUGCCUAACAAAAAAAAAUAGUAAUGAAUAAUAGUAGAUCUAUGUUAAAAAUACAAAUAUAUGGGAUAGAUAAAUAAAUAUUUAGAAGUAAAAAUAUAGAACUAAGCUAAUAAAAUAAUAUUUAGUUAUGAAAAAUUAAUCUAGCUAAAGGAAAGAAAAUAUAUGAAAAAGUAAAAAUAUAUGUAUAUUUUGUCAUAAGAAAAUAGACUCAAUAAGGAGUGAAAUAAUAUUAAAAUAGAUAAUUAUAUGAAAGUGAGUUAAAUAAAAAAGGUAUAUAAAAUGUAAAAGAUAAGUUAGGCAUGUAAAUAGAAAUGAAAUAUUUAAUUAUAUAAAUUUAUAUUCAUAGAGGUAUAUAUAUAAAAAAUAAAAGAAUGGGACCUAGUAUGAAAUUAUUAAAUAUAAAAUAUAAUGAUUGAUUUAGGAUCAAUAGCGAUGAUAGGAUGCCCAUUCGGAAUGCGAGAAGUCACAAUUUCCAAUUAAGUUUCUUAGGUUAGGGAUUUUGAUUAAGACCGUACAGUAUGAUAGGAGGGUUUUAAUUUUGAGUCCCGAUGUUUCUAAUUCUAAGUCAAUGAAAAUCGUAUUAACCUAAUUACUAACCAAUAAAACAUAAAAACAAAGGAAUCAAAAAAUAAGGAAAAUAAUAAUAAUAAUAAUAAUAGUAAUAAUAAUAAUAGUUAUAAAUACAAGAGGGAAUAGAUAAAAUAUGUAGUUUUAAAAUAUAAGAUUAUAUAAAAUAAGGAUUUUCAAGAAAAUAAAUAAAUAAAUAAUGAUAAUAAAUUUUUAAAGAGAGUAAGAUUAUAAUAAUAAUGCACAUAGAGAAUAAUCAAUAGUGGACAUUAGAGUUGGUAGUACAUCUUGCAUUAUCAUCGCGUUUAAAUGUCAUGGCAUGUAGACAUUACAUGUGUAAGUCUAAGCCCCAAUGAUGGGACUUUUCAAGGGAGCUUGCGAAGGCGAGUUCCUUCGGAAAAUUUCUUAGAUGAGAGGAUACUUUCGAGUCCCACCAGUAUAAUGGGAGAACUAGGAGAAUAUCCUUAAUAAAAGACUUCUGCUCGUAUUUGGGUCUACAUUCAUAAAAAUAUUAUUUUUUUACUUGCAAGCAACUACCCCGAUAAUGAGAUUUACUCGUUAAACUUGUGAAGAUGAGUUUCUCGGGUAUUUCCCUAAGUGAUAGAAUACUCUCGGAUCCUACUAGUAUGAUGUGUGAAUUCAAAAAAUACCCUCUAUGAAAGGUUUUCGUUUGGCAUUAUCUAGAUUUUAUGCCAUGCAUUUCAUAAUUGCAUCAUGUAUACGUCACACACGUAAAACCGAAUAAAAUUUUUUAAUUUGCAAAUAAAAUAAAGAAUAAAGUAAAUAAACAAUAAUUAGGAAAACAUAAGAAUAAAAUCAAUAGUUUAGGUUAUAAUAAGAUAACAUAUGAUUAAAUGGUACUGUUUGUGAAAUGGGUGUUAUAGGGGUGCUAAUCCUUCCCUAUGCGCUAUCAUACUCUUGAGCCCAAUUUUAAAAAUUUACAGACCAGUUUAUUGUUCUUUAGAUGAACUUAAAAUCAAUUUAGGAUUCCAUCAAAUAGAACAAAUUAAACAAGUGACCAAUCGCACUUAAAUAAAAAAAAUUGGUGACAACUCUUAGUUUUUUUCAAGUCUCGUAGUUGGGUUCCCGGACCCGUAUGUUACAAUAGCUCCUUUUGUUGGUUGUUGUAAAAAUAGGAAAAGUUAGUACAAAGUCUAACUCGUCUUUCAGUGAGAGGAUAAAUGCUUAUGCUUCACUUUUUUUGUUCUUACUUAUAACCCAUUACAUUAUUAAAGUACUCUCAUUAUGAGUGACUUGAUAAUAUUAUCAUGUUUAGUUAAUAGUUAUUUAUAAUGAAGAAUUAAAAAUCAUCAUGUUUGGUAUCACAUAAAAAUCAUAUAUAAUUUUGUUUAAAAUAUUAAAAUAACAAUAAUAAUUUGAAUAUUUUAUAAAGAUACUAAAUUUUUAUUUAAUGUCUCAUAUAUAAGAUAUACUUAAAAGGUUUUAUCAACAAACAUGAAAAAGUAUGUUUAUCAAUAGGUAAAUUAACUUUCAAAAUAGUAAUCACAUAAAAAUCUUUGCAUGAAUGAGAAAAUGAUAAUGAAAUUUGCUGAGAAAACAAAAAUUAUAUUUCGUAUUAAAAAAUAAAAAGCAAAGAAAAUCAUGUAAUUUAAUUUUGGGUUCAAUAUAAAAAAUAGUAGUUUUGAAAAUGACAAAUAUUUAUUAUGUAAAAAUAACAACAAUCUCGUGAGAAAACAAGUUAUUCAUUCAAACAUUAAAAAAAAUAAUAUUCAUAAUUAAUCUUACAAAUCACUUCACAUCGAUUAAUAUAGUUUUUCAUCAUUUCGGAUGGGAUUAGAUCACCCUCCAAAGUGACAUACUCACUCUUAGUGAUCUUAGAUCACCAUCAUGUAGAAAACUAUGUUCCUAAACACGGUUAAUAUAAUUAACAAGUGUUGAUCACCAUGAAUCUCAAGGUGAUCGUCUAAGAUCAAACGUCAUCUUAGUGAUUGUUAUUCCUUUUCAGAAAGCAUAAUAUAUAAAAAAACUCCUAAAUUAUUUAAGAAAAUUUAAAUAAAUUUUUAUAUUUUUGUUGCGUUUAAUCAAACCCUUAUACUUUUAUUUUGAACCAAACAAGUCCUUAUAUUUUUAUUUUAAAUCAAAUAAGCCCUUAUGAUUAAUGAUUGAUUUAAUCAAAAUGUCAUUUAUUAUCUAUGCCAUAUAAAGCUAAUGUUGCACGCUAAAAUAUUGUAAUUGAUCAUGAUGUGGUAUGUUGAUAUAUCAUAGGAGAUGAUUUUAUAACAUACUAAUUUAGUAUGAUAACCUGACCAUGUGACUUUUUUCACCCUCUACAUCAUAUUUCAUGUCAGUUCCAUGUCGAAUAUAAAAUAAAAAAUGACAUUUUUAUUGAUGAUAAUUAGUCAAUUAUUAGUUAUAAAAAUUUAUUUGACUCAAAUAAAAAUAUAAGAAUUUGAUUAAUCACAAUAAAAGAAUAAAGACUUAUUUGAAUAUUUUUAAAUAGUUUAAGGACUUAUUUGAGUAUUAUGCCUUUUUAGAAUGAAUAAGAUUUAAGAUUCGAAUUCAUCUCCUUCAUUGGAAUUCUUGUAUAUAUCGAGAAACAAAUUGAGCUCAAAUAUAAAUCUAGGAUUUAUAGAUAUUUCUCCUUUAUAAUGAAUUAUGAUCUCUAAACAUCUCUCAAUCAACCUAAAGAUCAUUUCAAGGGCUCCCUUCAGGAUAAAGCCCCCCAAAAAAAAAAAAACCUAAAGAUCAUUUCAAUGAGUCGAUUGAAUUCUUUAACUCAAUAAAUUUGCACCUUUGAAACCGUGGCUAGUUCAUAUCUCAAUAAUCUAUGGUUUUUUUUUUCUUUUAAUAUUUGAUUUGGUCCAACAUUUAACCCUACUCUUGUUUUUAGCUAUGGACUCAAAAAAUGCAACCAAGAAAAAAUCAAGGAAAAAAAAAAGAAAGAAAGAAGAAAACUACAAAAGUGUGAACCAGCAAUUGUAGCAAGCCAGACAAAACAGGUGGGUCAUGGGUUCCCAACCAAAAAGGGUGAAGUAUCCAUGUUGAUUAUGCUACCCUUUGCCGACCAAAAAACAAAAGGAAUAAAGCACAAAGCAACACAUGACUUGAACAGCCGAAUUCUCUAACAAAACUUUUUCGAUGAACCCAAUUCUUUUUUUAUUUUUAUUUAAUAAAAAAAGAAAGAAAAGAUAUUUUAUAUUUACAGCACAUCUCCUAGAAGUCUCCACAAUGGACCUAACUAUCCCUUGUCCUUGCACUUAUGCGUGUUUUGUGUGCUUAUCCUUUGGAGAGGAACUAAGCUAUACACACAGAGAGAAAAGACUAGAGAUAUAGCUGCUCACACGUGAUUUCACUGAAUUACAAGUCCCACAUGAAAUAAGCUUGAGCUUCUUUCUCAAAUCGUCUGGUUUAUGAACAAAACAAGGGAAUUGCAAAGGAGGUAUGGAUCAGAUGGGAUUCAGCUUUUAUCCAAUGUAAUGUAUAGACCAUUUCAUAGAGAAGUUAAGACUAACAUUUUAUGAUGAAUUGUGUGAUUGUAGCUUAAGAUUUUUUCUACGUUUACAAGCUAAGUGUAACCCAAAGAGUAUAUUAUUUGUUUUUGGGUUUUUUAACUACAAAAUUUUUGUGCUAUUACAUUUGUAGGGGUAAGCCUCCAAUGCUGAGUUGUGUUGUCCCUUUGUGUCUUGGUGAUUACAUGCAUAAUUUAUUGAACUAUCGCAUUUUGUUCAUGUUUCUUCAUACUUGCACGUUCCUUGUCUUUUACAUGAUAAUUUAAUGAUUCUUUUGAGUGAGAGUAAUUAAAAUUUUUGGAACCUUCCUAUAAAAUAAGCUUAACUAUUUCUUUUGUAGCUCACCAAAAGUUCACCAAACAAGCAUAGACUUAUUCCUCUUUCUUUUGUCCUUUUAAAGUCCGUCUCUUAUGGAUCAACGGAUGAUCCACAAAGAAAUGUGUAUUCCAAGGCAAAUUGAGUUAAGUUUAAGGAAUGAAGCUUGUUGGAAAGACAACUUUCUUUCAAAACUCAAACAUGUUGAUAGCUUUGAUGGAAAAGAGUUUCCAAUGACUUUAAUCUAAUAUAAUACUACAAAGACUAACAAUAAUAAUAUAGAGAAGAAGAAUCUCACAACAUCAUUUACACAUGGCACACAUGCAGAACCCCAAAUAGCCUGAAAACCCCGAGUGCAAACAUGUGAUUUAAAUCCAUUCUGCCCAUAAAUAAUCAUGGGAUUGAAUGAUCUAACGAAGGCAAAAUAAACAAUUACGGGAAAGUUUGGGAAAGAAGGCUGAGGAAAAGAGAAAAGGGACGCUGCAGCUACUUGAUCAGGCCCAUGCAGGGAAUGUGCUGAACAUGCUGUACAUUUCAUGCUGCUGCACUGUCUCACCUUUGUCACAUGCCAUCACUCCUUCAAAUCUACACUCCAAAUCCUCUCUCUCUCUCUCUCUCCCCCCAUGUGCUUCUCUUACUCCCAAUGGGGCUUUGCUGGCCCAUAUCACUUUCACAUGCACCCUCUAGGGAAGCCACAACGCUGUAAAACCCUAAAUCCAACUAGCUCACAGCCUCUCCAUUUUGCCCCAUUCAUUGACUCAAAUGCCCUCUAUACCUAUUUUAGUCUCCAUUGUCUUGUAUUUAUUUUAGGAUCGUACUCUUAUCAUUCUUCAUUAUUGUUGCCUUUUACCUUUUAAGUUUUGGAUCAUAUGGGGUUCCAAAUGUCAAUUAUAUUACUAAUCUUGUCGGCUCCAUUCCAUACUCAAAACAUUAUCUCCAUCUAUAUGUACAUAUAAUAAUCACCUAGGUUUAUCCUCUUUUCACAUCUCUAGGUUGACAAAUUUUUGGUCGUUUUGUCUAUCAAAUUAUCAAUCAAUUCUAAUUUCUUUUCAAUCUUUUUUUAAUUCCUCAAACGUUGGAGGCCACCUAUUUUUUUCUCUCUCUUUUUUAACUAUCAAUAUAUGAAUUACGAGUUUAAGGAGAAGAGGAGAUUUGAACUUAAGACUGUAAUCAUUUUUAAGUAAACAAGGAUAAAUUCUUACAAUAUUUUUUUCUUAAAAAUGCAAUUUUAUUUGAGGGAAGGGUGUUUAGGGAAAGAAACAAUUUGAACGUUUUCCAACUCCGCAUGUGGCGUUACAGAUAGGCAGGCUUUUUUUGGGUGCCAAGCCCUCCCUCCCUCCCUCGCGGGCUUGCAAGUUGUUCCUCUUCCCGCUUUAACUUUUCAAGUGAGAUACGAAAUUGGUGUCCUUUUCUCACCAAAAUCAGAAAAGCAACCUAACCUAAUAACAAGUAAGCAAAAGAAAAAUCUGUAUACGUAGGGCCUCCUUCAACAGCAUCCUACUUGAUUAGGAGCCACACCCAUGGACUUUCAAACACCCAAUCAAAACUCAAUGAUCUGCCCUUCCUUUAUGACUAUAUUUUUGUGGCAAAAUUUGUUGGCGUCUUUUUCCUACUACCCUUUUCCUUUGCUAAUUCAACUAGCCAAGUUGCUCCCAUAUUUGGGGGUCCUUUUUUUAAUAAAAUCCUCCCUGUUACAAGUUUAAAUGUAUCUUUCAUCAUUGAACGCUUACAUUCAUAUACAGAUAUAUUCAUAUACAUAUAUACAUUUGUAUAUAUAAUUUUGUGUAUAAUACAUUAGGUAAUUAUAAAAUUAUAUAUGGUACAAAUUCUCAUGUUAAAAAAAUCUAAUUGAUCGAAAUAUAAUAAGUUUGAUAUGUUCAAGGGAUCGUCCAUAAUUACAAGAGGGAAAGUAUGUCAACUAUUCUGUUUGUUUGUAUGUGAAAUGAUGAAAGUAUUGUAAGUUACUUGAAGGUAAUGUAUACAUCCGAGGAAAAAAGGGUCCUAAAAGCAUUUAUUUUUAUUUAAUGAAGGAGGACGUUGGCUACCGGAGGCUUAUUUGGUACAUGAUGUGGUUAACCUUUGUGUUGACAUGACAAAUUAAUGUCAAUGGAUAGGUAAAUCCUACAAGUAUUCUGCAGAGUUAAUUUGAACUCACCCAACUCCAUCAAACUUGUCAAAAUGGUGUGUAAAUUCAAGUGGUAUAUAUGUAAAAUCUUUACUGAACUUUUGAGGUCAUGCAUGAUAAUUUUGACUUUCUUUUAUUUGUGAUUUCGUUUACCGACCAUUGCAUCAUGCCCCUUAAAACUUUUCGGUCAAGACACAUGUGCAUUAUGUUUAAUAUAAACUAUUUAUAUGCUCAAUGUUAAUUUUUCUUAUAACUAAUUUGAAGAAAAUAUUUGAGUUCACGUGCUACUUUGUAAUUUGAAAAAUACUGUUGAAUUCAAUUCACAAUCAUAAUUAUGUCCAUUUAAGAUUUAAGUUUCAAUUCUCUUUCUUUCAAAACUAUUGAAAAAGAAGGCCAAGCAAUACAUACAUAUAUAAUUAUCAUUUCUUUAUCGUGUCUAAAUCUUUUUCUUUGACUUAAGAUACAUGAUCAAUUUUAAACCACGUUCUUCUCUUUUCAAGGGUAUUUCAUAUACGCAACGCUAUUUUAAAAAUAUCAAGGCCAAUAAAAUGGCAUUUCUGUAACAACUCAUAAAACAGGUGGCAAAUUCUUAACUUGCACUUACAAAAACCCCGUUACCCCUUCUCUGUACUCUCCAAAGAAAAACCUGCUCACCCUUUUCUUCUUCCUUUCUCUUGGAAACAACACUCCCCCCACCCCCCAAAAAAGGAAAGAAAAAAACAAAGGAAAAAUGAGAAUCCAAAAAACCUUCAAAAAUUCAUUGAAGAAAGCUCAAAGAAAAUCAUCAACAUCAAGAAGAGCAAGAAAUAUAGCGAGAAGACGAGUUGUUCAUGCACGUGGCUGCAAGAGAAGAAGCUUUGUCAAGUGUUCCAAGAAGGUUUCAGACAAGCUCAAAGCUCUCAAGAGUCUAAUUCCUCAUGUCCCAAAUGGAAGUAACGAGAUAGUUAAAGCAGAACAGCUGUUCCAAGAAACUGCAGAUUACAUCAUUGUUUUGAAGACCCAAGCUUUUGUCCUGCAAAAGCUGAUUGAGUUUUAUGAUGGGUCUAGAAAUGAGCAGCAAAAUGUUCAAGAAGAAUCAUCAUAGUCAUUAAUUUGAACUUCUUUUUUUCUGUUUUCAUUUUCAUGCAAGACAAGAAGAAAAAAAAGAGAAAAAAAGAAGAAGAGAAGAUCUUUUGGUACUUGUUUGAUGGAGGAGAAAGUGAAGGAAAAUGGAAAGGAAAUGGAAAGGGUUUUUCUCGGAAUAUAUUACAUAUAUGCAAAUUGCUGGACUUGCGAGGCAUAGCCAUGUUACAUAAGAAAUUUUUUCUCUUCUUUUCUCAUUCUCUUGGCAUGUUUAGAUUUUAGGUGUGACUAGAAAAAUUAAAAAAAAAAAAAGCAAUCUCAGUAGAGUGCAUUGGGAUUUGGAAUUUCCAAUACUACUAGUAAAGAUUUUCUUUUCUUAACGAGUAUUAAAUUAUUGAAAUUUGUUCAUUUAUUUGAAGAGACUAUUUACAAGUUUUUAAACCAUGGUGUUGCUUAUUUUGCUCUGACACUAAACAGGAAAAAUAUCAAUUUCUCAUUAAUACAGAAAUUAUUGCUGUAUUUAUGAAUUAUAUAUCCGAUGUGAAUUUUUUUUUUUUUAGAUAGAUGUCUCGAAUUUAAGGGAGUGCAGAGAGAAAGAGUAUGGGAAGGGAAGUAUGAUCUUUGACAUAAUUAUCUUUAAGUAAAAUGGGAAGAAGUGGCCCUUGUCAUAUGGGUGAAGGCAUGCUUCUGUCUCUCCCCGUGGUUAUGAAUUGUGAUGAAAGUGACUUGUUACUCAGCUGUGAAAGAAACCCACGUGCAAAAGCCAAUUUUUUUGGUAAGAAAGCUUGCAGUUUGGCCCUCUCUCUCUCCUUUCAUUCACAUGGGAUGGUGAGUGCUUGCCUCUUUAUUUUUCUUCCAAAUGUCUAAUAUCUGAAUGUAUAUCAAGUACCGUCAAUGAUUGAGAAGAUAAAUU
This 37000-nucleotide long non-coding RNA is filed under the name Theobroma cacao (cacao). Its description in RNAcentral is "long non-coding RNA (TCAC_LNC002568)". The record is from RNAcentral. Lineage: Eukaryota; Viridiplantae; Streptophyta; Magnoliopsida; Malvales; Malvaceae.